GAAAUGCGAAAGGUAUCGAGAGACGCAACGAUAGUGACACGAGGAAUUUUUGAACGCAGCUUGCACCGUGUGGCGCGGGCCAGACGGUAUACGUGACUGAGCAUCUCCAGGGAGACUGGCUCGCAGGAGGCAGGAGCUGGUCGUCUGGCGGCGACGCGAGUCGAGCAAAGAAAAGGCAAGGCAGAGGGGCGGCGGCCAUGGGAUAGGCGCAGGCGUAUCAUGGGCGACGCAGCCAAAGCGGGUCACAUCGAUGGACGUGUGGAUGUGAAGCGACACAAAGCGAUCUCAGGUCAGGUAGGACGACCCGCCGAACUUAA
RNAcentral lists this unclassified non-coding RNA (317 nucleotides) under uncultured fungus. Its description in RNAcentral is "sequence contains ITS1". The stretch from base 1 to 106 matches the Rfam family "5.8S ribosomal RNA", at positions 50 to 154 of the family's 154-position model. Lineage: Eukaryota; Fungi. The record is from RNAcentral.